GACGAACGCUGGCGGCGUGCUUAACACAUGCAAGUCGAACGAAGUGGCGAACGGGUGAGUAACGCGUAAUCAACCUGCCCUUCAGCGGGGGACAACCGUUGGAAACGACUGCUAAUAACGCCUACUGAAGUAGGGGAUUGCGUCUGUUUAGCUGGUGGGAGGGGUAAAGGCCGACAAAGGCGAUGAUCAGUAGCGGGUAUGAGAGGAUGAACGGCCACAUUGGGACUGAUACACGGCCCAGACUCCUACGGGAGGCAGCAGUGGGGAAUCUUCCGCAAUGGACGAAAGUCUGACGGAGCAACGCCGCGUGAGUGAUGACGGCCUUCGGGUUGUAAAGCUCUGUUAAUCGGGACGCGGUACCGGAAUAGAAAGCCACGGCUAACUACGUGCCAGCAGCCGCGGUAAUUC
RNAcentral lists this ribosomal RNA (408 nucleotides) under uncultured bacterium. RNAcentral describes it as "partial 16S ribosomal RNA". It matches the Rfam family "Bacterial small subunit ribosomal RNA", at positions 28 to 526 of the family's 1533-position model. The record is from RNAcentral.